Molecule: non-coding RNA, 107 nt
Organism: Pteropus alecto (black flying fox)
Lineage: Eukaryota; Metazoa; Chordata; Mammalia; Chiroptera; Pteropodidae
Source: Rfam
GUACUCGCUUUGGCAGCACAUAUACUAAAACUGGAAUGAUGCAGAGAAGAUUAGCACAGCCCCUGUGCAAGAGCGACAUGCAAAUUCAUGAGGUGCUCCAUAUUUUU